Aedes albopictus (Asian tiger mosquito) is the source of this 77-nucleotide non-coding RNA. Lineage: Eukaryota; Metazoa; Arthropoda; Insecta; Diptera; Culicidae. The record is from Rfam.
UGUUCUGUGGCGGAGUUGGUUAACGCGCCCUGUCUAGCGAACCUGGGGAGACGUGGGUUCAAAUCCCACCAGAACUA